RNAcentral lists this non-coding RNA (793 nucleotides) under Cerion incanum. The record is from RNAcentral. Lineage: Eukaryota; Metazoa; Mollusca; Gastropoda; Stylommatophora; Cerionidae.
CCUACAUGGGAGUUACCGCGAUUUAUUUACUAACCCAGAGGAUAAUAUUAUACAAUUAUGGAGACAUAAAUAUAGCCCACUAAUCUAAACUUUUUCAAAAUAUCUAUAAGUUUAAGUAUUUAGUGGCUAAAUAAAGUGCCAGCAGCCGCGGUCAAACUUUAACUUAGUUAUAGAAAUUACCAGAGAACAGAUAGCAGUAUAACUUAAUUUUUUAACUAAAACUACAGCCCAAUAAGUACGACUAGUGAAAUGGCGUACUAUUUCCUUCUCUAUUCUGUAUAAUAUAAAACUCAGCUAUUUUAACCUCCAGAUAUAAACCAGGAUUAGAUACCCUGUUAUUAGGAGUCAGACUAUGUAUAAUCUCUUAGUAACACAAUUUUUAAAAUUUAAACUAAAACAACAUGGCGGCAAAAGUUAACCUUCAGGGGAACUUACACAGUAAUUGAUAAUCCCCAAGUUAUUCUCACCCUUAUCUAAAGUUUGUAUGCCGUCGUCUACUGGUCUUUUCUAAUCAAAAGGCCAAGCUCUAAUAAGCAUGAAAUAAUAUUUGAGCUUAAUAGAGAAAGUCAGAUCAAGGUGCAGCCAAUAUAGGGGGCUGCAUGCGAGUUACACUUACAGUUACUAAAUUUGGAUGCUUAUAUUAAACCAUGAAGCUGAAAUUGGACUUGAAAGUAAUUUAGAAAUGGAUUUUACUUUAUGAAUUUUUACUAACUCUUGUGUACAAAUCGCCCGUCACUCUCAUGGAUAACACGAGAUAAGUCGUAACACAGUAGGGGUAAGGGAACUUGCCCCU